RNAcentral lists this ribosomal RNA (508 nucleotides) under uncultured bacterium. RNAcentral describes it as "partial 16S ribosomal RNA". It matches the Rfam family "Bacterial small subunit ribosomal RNA", at positions 355 to 856 of the family's 1533-position model. The record is from RNAcentral.
UGGGGAAUUUUGGACAAUGGGCGAAAGCCUGAUCCAGCAAUGCCGCGUGUGUGAAGAAGGCCUUCGGGUUGUAAAGCACUUUUGUCCGGAAAGAAAUCCUUGGCUCUAAUACAGUCGGGGGAUGACGGUACCGGAAGAAUAAGCACCGGCUAACUACGUGCCAGCAGCCGCGGUAAUACGUAGGGUGCAAGCGUUAAUCGGAAUUACUGGGCGUAAAGCGUGCGCAGGCGGUUUGCUAAGACCGAUGUGAAAUCCCCGGGCUCAACCUGGGAACUGCAUUGGUGACUGGCAGGCUAGAGUAUGGCAGAGGGGGGUAGAAUUCCACGUGUAGCAGUGAAAUGCGUAGAGAUGUGGAGGAAUACCGAUGGCGAAGGCAGCCCCCUGGGCCAAUACUGACGCUCAUGCACGAAAGCGUGGGGAGCAAACAGGAUUAGAUACCCUGGUAGUCCACGCCCUAAACGAUGUCAACUAGUUGUUGGGGAUUCAUUUCCUUAGUAACGUAGCUAGC